UAGCCAUUUCGAGCGUUUUUAUGCUCGUGCAUUUUUCGCGGUGCGACAAGAGCUCAUUAACAUUUUUCGCGCCUACACCAUUUUGUUCGUGUUAUUGCAUUUUGCUUCAUACAUGUAAUGGAAUUUAGGCCCCGUUUGGCUCUACUUAUUUUCCACUUUUCUAGUUCUCCUAAAAGAAAUAGAGAAGUAGAAAAUUGUAUUUCACUCUAUUUCUCCUUAAAAUAAUUAGAGAAAUAAAGUAAAGAAGUAAAAAAUAAGAAGAAUUUUGGUUAAACACAAUUUUUUACUUAUUUACUACUUUUAAGGAGAAGAAAAAAAGUGAAAAAUAAGUAGGACCAAACGGAGCCUUAGUCUUGUUUGAAGACCUCUGUGUUUGCUAGUGGUUUGCCUUUAAGUGUGCAGAUUGAAGACUUUUUUGGAUUUGAUAUACCUCCUUGUUGCCUUCAUUGUGAUUUAGCCCUUGGUUUUAGUUUCUAUAUAUGAUGGUUAAGUUGGGUUAUGAUAGUUAUGACAAAUUUUAUAAAAGGAAACGUGGGCAGUGGGCAGAAUGAUACAGCUAAUCAUUUCCUUAUAGGAAUGUUUCCUUAUUCAGCGAGGGAAGAGAAAGUAAA
RNAcentral lists this long non-coding RNA (611 nucleotides) under Trifolium pratense (red clover). RNAcentral describes it as "long non-coding RNA (TPRA_LNC006264)". The record is from RNAcentral. Lineage: Eukaryota; Viridiplantae; Streptophyta; Magnoliopsida; Fabales; Fabaceae.